AGAGUUUGAUCAUGGCUCAGGAUGAACGCUGGCGGCGUGCCUAAUACAUGCAAGUCGAGCGGAAAGGCUCCUACUCUGUGUUUAAUACAUUGAACAUAGGGUUGGAGUACUCGAGCGGCGGACGGCUGAGUAACGCGUAGGAACGUACCCCAAAGUGAGGGAUAAGCACCAGAAAUGGUGUCUAAUACCGCAUGUGGUCUUCGGAUUAAAGCUUCGGCGCUUUGGGAGCGGCCUGCGUAUGAUUAGCUUGUUGGUGAGGUAAUAGCUCACCAAGGCGACGAUCAUUAGCUGGUCUGAGAGGAUGAUCAGCCAGACUGGGACUGAGAACGGCCCAGACUCCUACGGGAGGCAGCAGUAGGGAAUUUUCCACAAUGGGCGAAAGCCUGAUGGAGCAACGCCGCGUGCAGGAUGAAUGCCUUCGGGUUGUAAACUGCUUUUAUCUGUGACGAUUAUGACGGUAGCAGAUGAAUAAGGAUCGGCUAACUCCGUGCCAGCAGCCGCGGUCAUACGGAGGAUCCAAGCGUUAUCCGGAAUUACUGGGCGUAAAGAGUUGCGUAGGUGGCAUUGCAAGUCGGUAGUGAAAGCGUCUCGCUCAACGAGAUAUACAUUAUCGAAACUGCAAAGCUAGAGGACGAGAGAGGUUAUUGGAAUUCCUAGUGUAGGGGUAAAAUCCGUUGAUAUUAGGAGGAACACCGAUGGCGUAGGCAGAUAACUGGCUCGUUCCUGACACUCAGGCACGAAAGCGUGGGGAGCAAACAGGAUUAGAUACCCUAGUAGUCC
RNAcentral lists this ribosomal RNA (780 nucleotides) under uncultured bacterium. RNAcentral's name for it is "bacterial SSU rRNA". It matches the Rfam family "Bacterial small subunit ribosomal RNA", at positions 8 to 796 of the family's 1533-position model. The record is from RNAcentral.